UACAGAGGGUGCGAGCGUUAAUCGGAAUGACUGGGCGUAAAGGGCGCGUAGGCGGUUAUAUAAGUUAGAUGUGAAAGGCCUGGGCUUAACCUAGGUUGGUCAUUUAAUACUGUAUGACUAGAGAGGAGUAGAGGGCAGUAGAAUUCCCGGAGUAGCGGUGAAAUGCGUAGAUAUCGGGAGGAAUACCGGUGGCGAAGGCGACUGUCUGGACUCUUACUGACGCUGAGGCGCGAAAGCGUGGGGAGCGAACAGG
Molecule: ribosomal RNA, 253 nt
Filed under: uncultured bacterium
Lineage: Bacteria
Description: partial 16S ribosomal RNA
Rfam family: Bacterial small subunit ribosomal RNA
Source: RNAcentral